UCGGGAAUUUUGCUCAAUGGACGAAAGUCUGAAGCGGCAACGCCGCGUGAGGGAUGAAGGCCUUCGGGUUGUAAACCUCUUUUGUCAGGGACGAUUAUGACGGUACCUGGCGAAUAAGCCACGGCUAACUACGUG
This 135-nucleotide ribosomal RNA is filed under the name uncultured bacterium. RNAcentral's name for it is "partial 16S ribosomal RNA". It matches the Rfam family "Bacterial small subunit ribosomal RNA", at positions 355 to 507 of the family's 1533-position model. The record is from RNAcentral.